Macadamia integrifolia is the source of this 5215-nucleotide RNA transcript. RefSeq lists it as uncharacterized. Lineage: Eukaryota; Viridiplantae; Streptophyta; Magnoliopsida; Proteales; Proteaceae. The record is from RefSeq and is a predicted model, not a curated record. The transcript is spliced from 7 exons.
UUUUUGGUAGGAUCUAAACCAUAACUUAGAAUUACGAUUUGUGAAGAAAUUUUGCUGACCUGGUAGUGACACUCAUUCUUUCCAGCGCCGUCAGGUCCAUGGCUAUUGAGCUUACGUGGUACUGUGGUUUACAAAGACGAAGGAUUCACGCCACGUUAAUGGUUCCUCCAGUCUCUCCUGUUCUCUUUGGCAGAUAACUUCCACAGAGAGAGAGAGCGAGAGAGAGAGCUUUGCAGGCUUGCUGCCGCAGGCUUAUGGUUGUUCCAUCAUUUCGAUGGGAAGUCUUAAUGCACCAAUCCUUUCAAAGACUGGAUUCUGCUACAAAGUUCCUACUUUCAGACCCAAAUCUUUCUCGACAAAUCGGGGCAAGAUAUAUGCACUGAAGAGUAACCAAAGCGACUCAAAUUUAUUUCUGAAAAUCCAAAUUUCAUGUCCUCCAUCAUUCUCUAAUGGCGUCAAGUCGCAAAUCUGGUCUCAAUUUGGACGAGCCACGAGGCGGCGGAACUCGUUGAGGAAGAAGCUCACUGACGAACAACAACAGGUGCGUGAUAUUCGUGAUUCUUCCAAUUUGCAAACCCCGAAUGGCAUUUCCACUGAAACUAAUUUGAAUUUUGGUGAUUCAAAAGAUAAUAGUUCUGGGGUUCUAGGAGAUAUAGUUCAGUCUGAUACUGUAACAAAACCUGAACUUAUUUCUGAUUCUGUUUUCUGGAGUAAAUUGGAGAAUUGGGUCGAUCAAUAUACGAAGGAUGAAGAGUUUUGGGGAACUGGGUCUGGUCCUAUUUUUACUGUUUUUGAGGAUUUGGAUGGGAAUGUGGAGAGUGUUUUAGUUGAUGAAGAUGAAAUACUGAGAAGAAGCCGGAUUGAACCCCGGUCUUUUGGAAAACCAGAGAUGAGGGAUCACUCCACUGAGGUAAAUUUGAAGAUUUCUGGUGCAAAUCGUUUAGCCAGGGAUAUUGAAACUGGGAAAUAUAAAAUUUCAAAAAGUAGCUCGAUUGCUAAGUUUGUAGUCUCGGGUAAACGAUCUGGUUUGGUUGGUAGACUCCUUUUGGAUGCUCUUCAGCCCAACUUGUCUAGGAAGAUCUCACGUCUUGGAUUUGCAAUGCUGUGCGGUUCCUUUAUGUUUUGGGCAAUUCGUAGAGUGCUUAUGCCUGGCAAUGAUGUGGUGGAAUUGACCAGGGAGGAGAAGGAAAUGCUGAGGAGAAAGAUGAAGUCAAGGAUGGAGCAAGAGAAGAUGAUGGCUGGCACUGUUGAAGUGCUCCCUAAUGCUCCAGAACCAGUAAUGGGAUCCACUGACAGGCCUCCGUUGGACAAGCAAGAACUUAUGAACAGAAUUAAGAAAGCCAAAGCAUCAAAAGAUAGAUUGACAUUACUGGAUUCGACCUGUACUCUCUCUUCAAAAGCUAAUAAUUUUGAUGAUAGAAUUCAAGAAAUUAGAGGGAUGGCCAGACGUGCACGCGAACUUGAGCAACAACAGUCUUCCUCAUUCAAUAGUGAUAGAGAAAAAAAUGAGUUAAAUGAGAACAUGCAAAAUGGGAUGAAAAAAGGCAAGAGUCAAGAAGAGUUUCUGAGUUUUCCAAAUAAUCUUUCGGAUGGAGAUCCAGUGAAACCUGUAUGCACUGUAAGCUCCCUAUCCGUAAUUGAUUCUAAGGAAGAAGAUACUGGAUUCCUGGGUGAAUUGUCAAUUGGAAAUGCUUCCAAAAAGAGUGAGACUUCUGCUAGGUCUUCGAGCUUGGAAACCACAGAAGAUGGAAGAAGCAGCAAAUGGAUUCCUGAGGAGAAAGAGUGUACUUCACACUUAUUAGAUGUGAAAGAAGUGAUGCAAUCAGACCUGGAAAAUAAGCAUUCGAAGGGUGAUUCAUGGGUCCCUCUAGGAAUUAAUGGAACCAUGAGGCCCACAUCUGUAGAUGAACCUAAGAUAGAAGAUAGCAGCUUUUUGGGUGAAGUAUCAUCUGGGAAUGCUGCAGAGUGUAGUGAUUCUGGGAAUCAUAGUGUGUUUAGUAUGGUAGCUUCUGAAACUGGGGAAAAAAAUACAUGGGAUCUGGAAAAGAUUGAAAAAACUAUACACUCACCGGACAUGAAAGAAGUGAUGCAAUCCCAUGAUACUAAGGAUACAUCAAAUUCAUUGGAUACGAUUUCUAUUGGGAUGAAGCCUAAGGUUAUACGGUCAGUCAAGGAAGCCAGGGCGUACCUUUCCCAAAAACGUGCCAAAAAGGAGGAUGACCUACAUCCCCAAGUCAGAAAUCUCCAAGAAAAAGAUAAUCUUGUUCCUGCUGCUGAUCAAGAUUUGAAGGUUAAGACAGGACCAUUAAGUUACAAAAAUAACAGUAUGCUUGAAAUUUCUAUGAUAGAUGAUACAUCGGGUCUUACAUCCAUCAAGAAUGCUCGUGAAGAUUCUACCCAAAAGAAAACAGGAGUGGCUACUGAUAUUUCACAGUCCUUCCAAGUCAAAGUUGAUGAGCCAGAUGAUGCACAAGAAAAGAAUGAGGUGGAUGAUCUUAAGAUGUUCGGAACUUCCCAGGAUUCUACAUGCAGUAAUAGCAGUAAAGAGGCACCACUUCAUAAAGACCAGGAUAGUUGGAUGGAGAAAAACUUUCAUGAGUUUGAGCCCAUUGUUUCAAAGAUUAGAGAUGGUUUUAAAGAAAAUUAUAUGGUUGCUAAAGAAAAAGGUCAUGACGAGUCACGUUUGAUUGCUGACAUAACACAGCUCGGGUCCAGUGAUGAUGACAGUGAACUUGAAUGGAUGAAAGAUGAUGGCCUCAAAGAAAUUGUAUUUCAGGUCCGAGAAAAUGAGUUGGCUGGGCGGGAUCCAUUUCAUCUGAUGGACGCUGAUGAUAAGCGUGUAUUCUUUAAGGGUCUUGAAAGGAAAGCUGAGAUAGAGAAUGCAAAGCUGUCGAAUUUGCAUGAGUGGAUUCAUUCAAGAGUUGAAAAUAUUGAUUAUGGUACAGAUGGUAUUAGCUUGUAUGAUCCACCAGAGAAAAUCAUGCCCCGCUGGAAGGGUCCACCAGUAGAUAAAGAUCCGGAAUUUCUUAAAAACUUUUCAGAACAGAAGAAGUCAUUUGUUGCUAGAAACGUGGGACACUCACCCUCCAUGAAUGAGGACGCACAAGAUAUGCUCCAGAAAUCAGAAAAAUCCCUAUCCUCUGAUGAUAUUUCCACUUCCUCACCUGUUUGCGAUCAAUGGAAGAUAUCCCAGGGUGAUGUCUCUGCGAAGUUGAAGACGGUUAUUGAGAGUAGUGAUGGUUCCAUUAGAGCUGGCAAAAAAUCAGGUAAAGAGUACUGGCAACACACAAAGAAAUGGUCCCGAGAGUUCCUAGAAGCUUACAAUGCAGAGACAGAUCCAGAGAUUAAAUCCAUAAUGAAGGAUAUGGGAAAGGAUUUGGAUCGAUGGAUCACUGAGGAAGAAAUACAAGAAGCAGCUGAUCUGAUGACCAGGAUACCCAAGAGGAAACGCAGAUACAUUGAAAAGAAACUCGACAGGCUCAAAAGAGAGAUGGAAAUGUUUGGACCACAGGCUGUAGUCAGUAAGUACCGUGAAUAUACAGAAGAGAAGGAAGAGGAUUAUCUGUGGUGGUUAGAUCUUCCGCACAUACUGUGCAUUGAACUGUACACAGUUCAAGAUGGGGUUCAGAAAGUGGGAUUUUAUUCUUUGGAGAUGGCUGCUGAUCUAGAAUUGGACCCGAAACAAUACCAUGUAAUUGCUUUCGAGGAUGCCCGAGAUUCCAAAAACUUAUGCUAUAUCAUACAGGCUCAUAUGGAUAUGCUUGGAGAUGGCCAUGCUUUUGUUGUUGCCCGCCCACCUAAGGAUGCCUUUCGAGAAGCCAAGGCAGAUGGUUUCAAUGUUACUGUAAUCAGAAAAGGGGAGCUCCAACUUAAUGUGGAUCAAGCACUUGAAGAGGUAGAAGAGCAAAUAACUGAGAUUGGGAGCAAGAUGUACCAUGAUAAGAUCAUGCGUGAACGCUCUGUGGAUAUUGGCUCAUUGAUGAAGGGUGCUUUUGGUUCCAGCAAAUCUACCAAGAGGCAGAGGUCCAAGCCGAAGCUAAGGGAACCAACCAAGCAUUGAUAGAUGCUCAGGAAAAGGGUCACUAGGUUAGAUUCAUAACUAAAUUUAUGAGGCCAUAUGGUUUUGAGUGAUGUAAUAGCAAUCAGGCCAUGCCAUCUACUUCGAAGGUGUCUUGAAGAAGAGCCGCUGUUGCCCCACUUGCUGGAUUUUGGAUGAAGAGGUCCUCGAAUUGGGUGUUUUGUCCCCCAUCAAAUGUACAAUCCCACAUCUGAGUUGCGUCUUGUGAUUCACAAUCUAUAGGUGUGAAGAUAAACGAACUAAAGGAGCUUCUCUUCUUCCAUAAAUGGCAUGUGGAACAACCAUGACUGCUGCUUCAAGGGCCUUCUUCUGCAGAAACAGGAAGCACUUCUUCUUCCUCUCUAUAAGCCCAAGUUUCCCAUUUAUCCGCUGCAGCAACCGCCACAUUUUCUUGCCUGAAAACUCCAAAAAAUGCUUCUUCUUUAUCUUUAUCUAUAUCUAUCAGAUGCAUUCAAUCCACUCAAGAAACUUUGGAGACAAGUGAGAAAUGUGUCCUCUGUUUGCGGAUGCAAUGUUGUUGACAUUCUUGAAGGAAGAGGUCUCCUUGAAUCAAUCACCAGCGAGAAUCUCAUGUCAGCUUGUUCCAAACCAAAGGUAGAGAGGGGGAGAGAGAGAGGGCGGGGGCCUCGAGAGCUGUGAAUCUCCAGCACAUUUAAGUUCCAGUUUAAAUUGAGACAAUAAAUUGAUUGAGGUCGCUGGCAUCGAGUCUCUGCAACUCCAUCCAGACGAUGUUUUUCUCACGGAGACGAUGAUCUCAACAGGGAAGAAGUGAUGGAUAGUGUUCUCGGCAUUUUCAAGAACAUCAAGGACCAGUGUUCGUAGCUGUCUUGUUGUUCGUGCUGUUAUCGCCUUGUUUGCUAAUCUGGGUGCCUGGUCGGAACCAUUUCAUUGAGUUCGACAACUUCCAGAUCAGUGGGGUUAUCGAUUUUGGUUCACUCCAUUCUCUACUUUACCCCAUCUUCAUCGUCUUCCUUGCUAUUGGAUUUCACAUUUGCCUUGGUUGAUCUUGAUGAUAUAAACUUACAUGGCAUGACUACGUUAAUGUUUGAUUUCCUUCAUUCCUUCCUUGCUUAGGGUUUCUGAGUUGCUUCACUUCCCUUGAUAUCUGCUAACGGUCUCGCUUUUACAUCUCUCUUG